RNAcentral lists this transfer RNA (71 nucleotides) under Ixodes scapularis (black-legged tick). RNAcentral describes it as "tRNA-Gly for anticodon GCC". It matches the Rfam family "tRNA". Rfam says of the family: Transfer RNA (tRNA) molecules are approximately 80 nucleotides in length. The record is from RNAcentral. Lineage: Eukaryota; Metazoa; Arthropoda; Arachnida; Ixodida; Ixodidae.
GCGUCGGUGAUUCAGUGGUAGAAUACUCGCCUGCCACGCGGGUGGCCCGGGUUCGAUUCUCGGCCGACGCA